AAGCCUCAUGCGGUGGUCGUAGCGGGCUUGACGGUCAAAGAAGCCUCCUUCUGACUCCACAUGAGACACAAACUCCUUGCGCUCCUCGAACCCGUAGCUACGGCGGCCAGUACCACGGCCGAACUCAGCGAUCCCUCCAACAAGCUUAUCAAGCAUUUUUUUCUUUCUUUAUAUAUGUACUUGAGUACUCUUUAGUGUGGAUAAGUGAUUAACAUCUUUCAGGCGUUUCUAUAUAUAUACAAUUCUUGUUGUGUAUACUAUAGUAGUAGUCUAGUGAUCGUUUAAAUUAGUGUUUUCAUGUGAUUCCAUUUGGCGAUUUAUUCGUAUAUAUCAUGGCAUGAUUUGAAUCUUAUUCUAAUCUUUUCCUACCACCACUACCAUACCGAAAGUUGAGUAGACAUAUUUGUUCUGAUUCCGUGCUUUUCAAAUUAUUGAUCAGUCCAUCUCACGUGUGAAAUCCGAAUUCUUAUUUGACUGAUCAAUUUUAACGAAGGCAUA
RNAcentral lists this long non-coding RNA (498 nucleotides) under Capsella grandiflora. Its description in RNAcentral is "long non-coding RNA (CGRA_LNC000288)". The record is from RNAcentral. Lineage: Eukaryota; Viridiplantae; Streptophyta; Magnoliopsida; Brassicales; Brassicaceae.